Molecule: unclassified non-coding RNA, 436 nt
Filed under: uncultured bacterium
Lineage: Bacteria
Description: partial contains 16S ribosomal RNA, 16S-23S ribosomal RNA intergenic spacer, and 23S ribosomal RNA
Rfam family: Bacterial large subunit ribosomal RNA (bases 305-436)
Source: RNAcentral
CGCGGCUGGAUCCCCUCCUUUCUAAGGAGUUGCUUCUCCUUCCGUCGAGCUUCCGCUCGGCGUGCAGGAGACAACAUCCCAGUUGAUGCACUGGCCGUCCGUUCGUGCAGACCUCACCAGGUCGUAGGUUUCCCUCCCUGGUGUGGCCGGCGACCCGGACGCAGUCCUCUCUUCCGUUUUGAAGGAGCCGCAUUCGUGCGGCUCUUUCUGCUGGUGGCCGAUCAGGCCGCGGGCGCCUCUGCGCACCGCUGGCGAUCCGCCUCGCCCUUUGAGAACUGCAGAGCGAGCACGAGCAUCUUUGUUCUUCCAAGCUACAAAGAGCCAACGGUGGAUGCCUUGGCGUCUACUACCGAUGAAGGACGUGGGUAGCUGCGAAAAGCCACGGGGAGCUGCUGACCAAGCGUUGAUCCGUGGAUGUCCGAAUGGGGAAACCCGG